UACGUAGGGUGCGAGCGUUGUCCGGAAUUACUGGGCGUAAAGAGCUCGUAGGUGGUUUGUCGCGUUGGUCGUGAAAACCGGGGGCUUAACUCUCGGCGUGCGGGCGAUACGGGCAGACUGGAGUACUGCAGGGGAGACUGGAAUUCCUGGUGUAGCGGUGGAAUGCGCAGAUAUCAGGAGGAACACCGGUGGCGAAGGCGGGUCUCUGGGCAGUAACUGACGCUGAGGAGCGAAAGCGUGGGGAGCGAACAGG
This 253-nucleotide ribosomal RNA is filed under the name uncultured bacterium. Its description in RNAcentral is "partial 16S ribosomal RNA". It matches the Rfam family "Bacterial small subunit ribosomal RNA", at positions 524 to 776 of the family's 1533-position model. The record is from RNAcentral.